GAUGUCGGAAAAGAAAAACAAGUACUCCACUCCAGAGUCUGUGGCCAUCGGUGAAUUGAAGAGAACCAGCAAAGAAAACAUGAACUUAUUGUCUGGCUCCCCAGCUGUCACGAUUUCACCAACACGAUUGAAAUGGUCUGAGGGGAAGAAAGAGGGGAAAAAAGGAUUCCUCUGAAGAAUUCAGAGCUCUCUUGCCGUCCACCCAGAAUCUUCUCUUUAGUGGACCAGGUGUUCUGACUGCUCCAGUGAAGCUCGGACUUGCAGCCUGCUUGCUGCAUUGAGAAUUGUGAAAGCCAACUAAUACCAUGACCCGACUGCUACCUCUAACCCUCCCUGGAUGUGUUUGUAAACUGUGCCUUCCGAGGGCACCAGGCUUGCCCUCCCUCUCUUCUAACAUUCCGGGAAGCCACUAACUAGCUACAUCCAACACAGCAUAGUCAAUGGGCAGAGCUGAGGCUCUGGGGCUUAUGCACUGUGGCCAGGCCGCUUCCAUUUUUAAAAAAAUAUGAAAUUUGUGCACAACCGCUAGCAAUUUUUUUAAAAAGCACUAUCCAUCUUAGUGGAUUGAGGUUAUGUUUAGUGGAUAUUUUGGGGUUUUCUGUGUUUUAUCAGUGUUGGGAUCUUUGGUUGUUGUUUGUAUUUGUUUAUUGUUUAUUUCUUUGAUUUAAAAGCCAUUUUUGGGAUGGGCUCUAAGCUAGAUGCCUUCUUUCCCUUUUCCCCUGAGCUUUGAGUAUGCGCUUUAUCUCACGAGGCUGUGUUCCUCAAUGCCUAAUUGUGUCCAAAGACUUCAUA
Carlito syrichta (Philippine tarsier) is the source of this 792-nucleotide long non-coding RNA. RefSeq lists it as uncharacterized. Lineage: Eukaryota; Metazoa; Chordata; Mammalia; Primates; Tarsiidae. The transcript is spliced from 3 exons. The record is from RefSeq and is a predicted model, not a curated record.